AGUGAACGCUGGCGGUAGGCCUAACACAUGCAAGUCGAACGGCAGCACAGGAGAGCUUGCUCUCUGGGUGGCGAGUGGCGGACGGGUGAGGAAUACAUCGGAAUCUGCCCAGUCGUGGGGGAUAACGUAGGGAAACUUACGCUAAUACCGCAUACGACCUUCGGGUGAAAGAGGGGGAUCGCAAGACCUCUCGCGAUUGGAUGAGCCGAUGUCGGAUUAGCUAGUUGGCGGGGUAAUGGCCCACCAAGGCGACGAUCCGUAGCUGGUCUGAGAGGAUGAUCAGCCACACUGGAACUGAGACACGGUCCAGACUCCUACGGGAGGCAGCAGUGGGGAAUAUUGGACAAUGGGCGCAAGCCUGAUCCAGCCAUACCGCGUGGGUGAAGAAGGCCUUCGGGUUGUAAAGCCCCUUUGUUGGGAAAGAAAUCUUUCAGGCUAAUACCCUGGGAGGAUGACGGUACCCAAAGAAUAAGCACCGGCUAACUUCGU
RNAcentral lists this ribosomal RNA (489 nucleotides) under uncultured bacterium. Its description in RNAcentral is "partial 16S ribosomal RNA". It matches the Rfam family "Bacterial small subunit ribosomal RNA", at positions 29 to 506 of the family's 1533-position model. The record is from RNAcentral.